GACGGAGGGGGCUAGCGUUGUUCGGAAUUACUGGGCGUAAAGGGCGCGUAGGCGGCCAAACAAGUCAGGUGUGAAAGCCCAAGGCUUAACCUUGGAACAGCAUUUGAGACUGUUUGGCUUGAGACCGAGAGAGGAUAGUGGAAUUCCUAGUGUAGAGGUGAAAUUCGUAGAUAUUAGGAAGAACAUCAGUGGCGAAGGCGGCUAUCUGGCUCGGUACUGACGCUAAGGCGCGAUAGCGUGGGGAGCAAACAGG
This 253-nucleotide ribosomal RNA is filed under the name uncultured bacterium. Its description in RNAcentral is "partial 16S ribosomal RNA". It matches the Rfam family "Bacterial small subunit ribosomal RNA", at positions 524 to 776 of the family's 1533-position model. The record is from RNAcentral.